CAGGAAAGAGAUGUCACCAGAAGAACUAGGAAGUGACUAUCUCUGAAAUUAACAGUAAAUUUCAACACACCACCCAGGCCGCACCUUGGACCCCCUGUCAGGACACUCCAGGAAAGAGAGCAGAGAAUAAGUUGUGCUGCAGAUAAAUGAAAAGUCUGUGAUUUACCAACACAAGAAGCAGAAAUGGAGAUGCAAAGGGAAGAGCCUCUUUCUAAGCUUCUAUUUUCCCUGGGUAGAAAAAAGGACUUUUGGUUGACUUUAUGGCUCUACACCAAGCCAGAAGACAACGUUGCUGUGGGGAGCAGCUGUGCCCUCUCAGGGUUACUCCAUGAUGCACAGAACAGCAGUUCUCUGACAGUCCUAAGCCAGGGUGGCUCGGUUUCACAAAGCAGUAGUUUUCUGUAGGCGACUCCAUUUUGAACUUCAGUGCUGCAAUGGAAUGAUUGACACCUUAUUUAUGCAGCUAAACAACCAUCAUCUGUAUGGCACAAACUGAUGAAUGAAUUAAUUGUGCCAAUAAAAAUGACCACCAUGAUGCUAUCCAAUUAAUUAGAAGUACCUGGACUCAUAGGUGUGAUGAACUCAUUGGAAAAACAAGAUCCCUGAGGGGGAAGCACCAGACCGCUGGAUGAAGCAAUACCUCGACGGAGGCCUGUAAAAGGAGCAGCAGUGUCUGGACGUGGUGGCGCCCUGACACCAUCACCUGCUCAUGCACCACCAGUCUCACCCAGGAAGAUCGUCACAGCAACAAACUUCUGCAUCUUUGUCCUCAGGCUUCAGUGGAGCCUGGUUGUUGCCCCUGAUGAUGACCAUGCACGACCCACUCAAGGCUGCUAUUCCAAGCUGACACUCCAAGCUGACACUGUGAAACUGCCAUCUGUCCAGAUCUUGUCCUAGAAUAGCUUCCUGUGCUUUGAUAGCUCUGCACCUGAACAAGUUCUUCAGCUGGAUGGUAUCUUACCUGACCACCUACAAUUUGCAUGUGUCUGCUCUCUGCCUUGACUCUCAGGUCAGGUUCCUGAAUGCCUGUGGCUGCCUUAACCCUUUCUUAGCCUUUCUGUAGUAUCUAUCUAUCUAUCUAUCUAUCUAUCUAUCUAUCUAUCUAUCUAUCGUCUAUCUAAAUUGUGUAAAGUGUGAAAUGUGACUUGAGUGCUAUAGAAUAUUAGAAAUUAAGACUGGAAUAAAAGAACUUGUGAUUGACUAGCACAUAACUACCAGAUGACCCACAGUGUUCAGUGAAUUUAUUGUUAUUCAAUAACUUCUGACAUCAUCAAAGAAAUAUCUGUGUUUGAUCUAUGUUAAUGUCAUAGCUCACUAGUGAUAGUUGUAAUGGAGUAGUUUAGGCAGGUCUUGAACUCAAACAACCAAACCCAAUCCUUGGCUCUUGUCCACCUUGAGUUUCCUGUUUUGUAAGACAAGAUAAAACCUUCACCCUUCCUGCCUCUUGUGGUUACCAGGAGCUUUCAAUGGAAUGUUGUAAACAGCACUGAUGUACCACACAAGCCUUCCUGGUGGGAUGUAAUCAGAACAUAAUUAUACUUUGUUCUCCAUGACCUCUAAUUAGAUGCAUUUCUUGGGGGCUGGUUGUUCUUUCACUGAAUGAAAACUUGAUUGGCCCCGUGGCAUUCCUGCCCACUUUAUGCCAAAAUUAAUGUCAAUUCAAUCACUAAGAGUGCCUGGUCUAUAUAAUGAUCACAGCAUCAAGCUUGAUCCACAAAUAAAACUUCUCUGCAUCCCCACAGCUAGGGCCUUUGUAAGGAGGUACCCAAAUCUACUUCCAUGUUUUGAUGAGCUGCUGGGAAGACCUACGGGAUUCAUCCUAUGAUGACACUCCUGAUGAUUUAUUAUGGUAAAAAGAUACAAAACAAAAUCAGCAAAGGGGACAGGGCAUGAGACAGUCUCAGGAAAACAGACAUGAAUGUCUGUAGUCUGCUGCUAAUGGAGCGAGCAGUAUAAGCCCAGUUCCUCCAUCUCUGAGUUGUGACCACACACGUGGAAGGUUGACAAUGGAGCUGCUUGUCAGGAAGCUCAGCAGGAGCAUCUUAUUGACAGCCCAUCACGCAGGCACACCCUGCUUUACGUAUGCCGAAACUCCAGACUCCCAGGAGGAAAGCAGGAACUCAGCAAAAAGCACUCUCUACACAGUUUAGGUGCAGUAAGCUAUCCUAUCAGUGAGAGAGAGGGGAAAUCUUCUGAAAUCCACAUUUCCAACGCCAGCCUAAAGACCAACCUUGUGCAGGACCCUUUCUAAGGAAAAGCAGUCAGCCCACUAGGUGACCUCUAAAGGCUAGUUGCCUUCAGUGCAAAAAACAAAAAUGCACCCUCCUCUGUUUCUUCAGCAUCUCCUUCCAGCCACCAAGUCACCUAGGGUACAGAGGCACUGGAGGAGAGGGGAGCGGGGAGGAGCGGGAAGAUUCUUAACUUUGCUUGGAUGCCUGGGUCUGGCAGGUGGUUCAAGGUUGGCCCCGUGUCUCACUGGCAUUCCGGUGUGUUCUUCAGAUUUGCCCCAGAUUUAGCAGGACUUUCUGCAAUGUGGUGACACAUUUUGGGCAGAGGUGGCUUCUGAGUCCCUGAUUUUUCAGGAGACAACUACACAUAGACUUUCAUCUAUGCCACCCUGCUCCUGAGUGUCCCUCCUGGACAGGAUUUAACAGCUGCAAACGAUCUCUCAAUUGUGCGCAGCCGGCAUCUGGCUUAUGGGGAACACUUGGCAUUUGUGACCCAAUAAACACCCUGGGAGUCCACGGCCCAGUGCAGUCACCUCUCCUUGACGGCAGCGGCCUGUGCGGCCAGCCAGCCUUCUUCUCCCUUUCGGGUCGCCAGCUGUUGCUACAGCUGCAGAGGCACAGCAGCAGGCUUUCUAGAGACCCCACUGACGCAUUUCUUCUCACUUGAGGGAAAGAGUGGAGCGCACUCUUCCUUCACCAUGGCGACUGGGGUGGGGGGUCAGGGAAGAUGGAGGAGCUCACGGCCCUCAGCAGCUCUCUCCAGAAAUUACUUCUAUAAAUACUCCAGGGUUUUCUGUCAAAACUCACUUUGAUAUCUAAAAUCCUGGAGUCAAUCCAAGUUUCAAGGUAUCUGACGUUUAUAUAAUUUGGGAGAAGCGCUUUCUUCGCACAUCAAAUAUAAAAUUAUAAUCUGAAACU
Ictidomys tridecemlineatus (thirteen-lined ground squirrel) is the source of this 3146-nucleotide long non-coding RNA. Ensembl lists it as uncharacterized. The record is from Ensembl. Lineage: Eukaryota; Metazoa; Chordata; Mammalia; Rodentia; Sciuridae.